AUAUGUAUAUAUAUAUAUAUAUAUAUAUAUAUACGUAUGUACAUACAUAUCACCCACUAAUACGUUAAUUCCAUCGAAUGUACGGUACUUCCGUGAUUGUAUCUUUUUGCGCGUUUUUAUAUUUUAUUUUAAAGAUAACAACUUUCAUCAAAUUCACAUUGACAAGUACUUGAGUAUAGUCUCUGGAAUGAAUCAACCUUGUUAUCCGGGACGACACGACGAAUGAACUAAAGAAAAUGUUUUAUCGAUAGUUUCAUUCGACAAGUAUUGAAAUAUUAGUAUUGAAAUAUUAGUAUUGAAGUAUUAGUAUUGAAGUAUUAGUAUUGAAGUAUUAGUAUUGAAAUAUGAGGAAAUCGAGCAAGAUCAUGGACAAACGACCAACGAUGAUAGAUUAGUAUCAGUUUCGAGAGCUCGCCGGGAGGCGAGUCAGCCCUAGGACGAUCUCCUGUCAUCACCGAUAGUUACGUCUUACAGUUAAUAUUAUUAAUAUUAUUUGAACCAGUAAUCCUUUAUUUUUGCCAAAUGUCAUAAAUUAUUUAUAUUAGUUUAUAUAUUUUCAAGUGAUUUUAUAUUGAUUUUAAAUUAAUCUUACUUCAAAUGAAAUAUAAGAAAUAAAAAAGAAAUUAACUUUCAUAAUCGCAUAAUAAAUAUAAAUCUUAUUACAUUCAUUGUAUUCCUUGCAAGGCGCUUAACUUUGAGCUGAUCCUGUGUCUGAUAAUGUCUGCAGUUAGACCGAUCAUUUUUCUGCAAUAUAUAAUUGUUAUAAUAUAUCAAUAUUUAGUUUCGAAAAAUAUAAAAAUUGUAAAAAUAAA
Molecule: long non-coding RNA, 812 nt
Organism: Vespa crabro (European hornet)
Lineage: Eukaryota; Metazoa; Arthropoda; Insecta; Hymenoptera; Vespidae
Exons: 2
Source: RefSeq, a predicted model, not a curated record